RNAcentral lists this ribosomal RNA (253 nucleotides) under uncultured bacterium. RNAcentral's name for it is "partial 16S ribosomal RNA". It matches the Rfam family "Bacterial small subunit ribosomal RNA", at positions 524 to 776 of the family's 1533-position model. The record is from RNAcentral.
UACAGAGGUCUCGAGCGUUAAUCGGAUUCAUUGGGCUUAAAGCGUACGUAGGCGGAUGUGCAGGCAUCGUGUGAAAUCCCCUGGCUCAACCAGGGAACUGCUCGGUGAACCGCACGUCUUGAGGCAAGUAGAGGCUGUCGGAACGAUAGGUGGAGCGGUGAAAUGCGUAGAUAUCUAUCGGAACGCCGAAGGUGAAAACAGGCAGCUGGGCUUGAUCUGACGCUGAGGUACGAAAGCGUGGGGAGCGAACGGG